GCAAAGCCCAUUAGCAGGUAGCACAAGCUGAAUCCUGAUUCUCUAGCUGCAAAGCACGGUGUGAAGAAUGAUGAAGAUUAGCUCAUUCUUGAGUAGAUGGUGUGAAGUGCAGUUGUGAGGGCUGGAGUUGCUGUAGUCACUUUGUCACCACGAGGAAAACUGGCCCGAAGAAGAAGAAUCUGAUGCACAGGGAAGAGCAGAGCCAAGUAGAAGAGAACACUGGAGGUGGACCUGAAGCAUACUCUCUCUCUGAGCCUUUUUGAGCCACAUGAGGUCGAAUUGGCCUGGGACUGAAAAUAGGAACAGAAGAACAGCAACAAACAGUAACUUUCUGGGUCGACUUUCUUUACCAUGCACCAGACACUUCACAUGCCUAAGGGAACCGAUCUCUUCCCUUUUCUGCCCUAACUGCUGAGGUAGUGCCCGGAAGCUGCAAUGCUCUGCCCAAGACUCAGUUGGUCUUGCGCCCCCCACCCCUGACCUUUAAGGCUCGUCCAUGUUCUACUGUUCCGCUUUGCUCCAUGCUGUCCUCUCUUCUCAGGGACCAUAAGUGAGUAAAGGACCCUUCUUUGUGUCUCUCACAUCAACACCCAGAUAAUUGAUUUCAGUGGGGAAAGGAGGUACAUUUCUUAAAAGUUACCUUUUCUUUUUUUUUUUAAUUUUUUUUUCAACGUUUAUUUAUUUUUGGGACAGAGAGAGACAGAGCAUGAACGGGCGAGGGGCAGAGAGAGAGGGAGACACAGAAUCGGAAACAGGCUCCAGGCUCCGAGCCAUCAGCUCAGAGCCUGACGCGGGACUCGAACUCACGGACCACGAGAUUGUGACCUGAGCUGAAGUCGGACGCUUAACUGACUGCGCCACCCAGGCGCCCCAAAAAGUUACCUUUUCUUAUAUGGUUGGCAGUCCUUUUUCACUGGCUGCCCUUUCCCCCCCUCUGUCCUGCUCCUCCCUAGCAAGACAGACACUCCACUGUAUUCCAAAUUGCCAGACUCCCUAGUCUAGAAAUUAAUACUUCAAAUUCUUUCCUUCAGAUGUCUUCUGGUCUCUCCUGCGAGUUGGCCAGUGGAACCCAAUCCUGUUGGGUUCCCUAGAAAUCACUGUCAGGUGUGAACCCCGGAGGGAAAGCAUUUUGUACUGAUAACAUGCUGUAUCACAAUAUA
This 1160-nucleotide long non-coding RNA is filed under the name Felis catus (domestic cat). RNAcentral describes it as "lncRNA (ENSFCAG00000048640.1)". The record is from RNAcentral. Lineage: Eukaryota; Metazoa; Chordata; Mammalia; Carnivora; Felidae.